This 974-nucleotide long non-coding RNA is filed under the name Salmo salar (Atlantic salmon). RNAcentral's name for it is "lncRNA (ENSSSAG00000118217.1)". The record is from RNAcentral. Lineage: Eukaryota; Metazoa; Chordata; Actinopteri; Salmoniformes; Salmonidae.
GAAAGAUGUAGAGAGUGAGAGAUGUAGAGAGAGAGAGAUGUAGAGAGAGAGAUGUAGAGUGAGAGAUGUAGAGAGAGAGAGAUGUAGAGAGAUGAAGAGUGAGAGAUGUAGAGUGAGAGAUGUAGAGAGAGAGAGAGAUGUAGAGAGAGGUGUAGAGAGAGAGAGAUGUAGAGAGAGAGAUGUAGAGAGAGAGAUGUAGAGAGAGAGAUGUAGAGAGAGAGAUGUAGAGAGAUGUAGAGAGAUGUAGAUAGAGAGAGAUGUAGAGAGAGAUAUAGAGAGAUGUAGAGAGAGAUGUAGAUAGAGAGAUGAAGAGAGAUGUAGAGAGAUAUGUAGAGAGAUAUGUAGAGAGAGAGGUGUAGCGAGAGAGAUGUAGAUAGAGAGAUGAAGAGAUAUGUAGAGAGAGAUGUAGAGAGAUGUAGAGAGAGAGAUGUAGAGAGAGAUGUAGAUAGAUAGAUGAAGAGAGAUGUAGAGAGAGAGAUGUAGAGAGAUGUAGAGAGAUGAAGAGAGAUGUAGAGAGAGAGAUGUAGAGAGAUGUAGAGAGAGAGAGAUAUGUAGAGAGAUAUGUAGAGAUAUGUAGAGAGAGAGAGAGAUGUAGAGAGAGAGAUGUAGAGAGAGAUGUAGAGAGAGAGAGAUGUAGAGAGAGAGAUGUAGAGAGAGAGAUGUAGAGAGAGAGAGAUGUAGAGAGAUAUGUAGAGAGAUAUAGAGAGAGAGAGAGAUGUAGAGAGGGAGAUGGAGGGAGAGAGAGAGAUGUAGAGAGGGAGAUGUAGAGAGAGAGAUGUAAGAGAGAGAUGUAGAGAGGGAGAUGUAGAGAGAGAGGUGUAGAGAGAGAUGUAUAUGUAGAGAGGGAGAUGUAGAGAGGGAGAUGUAGAGAGAGAGAUGUAAGAGAGAUAUAUAUGUAGAGAGUGAGAGAUGUAGAGAGGGAGAUGUAGAGAGAGUCUACAAGUCUAAAGUAUGGAGGGAGGGAUAGAGGGAGA